UGGGGAGCGGCUGUGGAUGGGUGCGAUGGGGGCAUCUCCAGGGAAUCUGGGGGCAGCAGGAGCGCGUCCCCCCCCUCCCAGCCGUGGCCCCGCACCCCCAGCCCGCAGCGGGGUCACGGCCGCGCCGGCGGCUCCCUCCGGGAAAUGCCGCGUCAGCGCCCGCCGCCCGCCGUGAUCCAACGCGAUGUGACAGCGGGGCCGCCGCCAGCGCCCCGCAGCUGCCCCGUGCCGGGCAGGGCCCCGCACCCACCGGGGAGGAACCCCCAGCAUCGGCCCCGCAGCUCCGCUCGCCGCCCCGCACCUCGGGGGGGGCCGGGAGCACCGGCUGCCAGCACGAGGAGCUGGGGGCACCCCCAAUCCCGCUCCUGUGCGCCCCAUGGGCAGCCGGGCGGGGGGGGGCAGCCCCCCAAAUGUGCCAGCGGCUUCUGGCCACGGGCCCGGCGCCGCCGUCCUGGUGCCGGUGCCAGCGCCGGUGCCGGUGCCAGUGCUGGGGUCUGGCGGGGCUCCCCGUGCCCGGCGGAACAAAGCCGCGGCUGUUCGCGGAGGGCACCGCGGCCAGAGGCUCAUAAUGAGGCCGGUGCCGGCGGGGGUCCCGGCGCUGGGACGCUUCUCACGGUAAAUCAGCCUCGCCGCAGCCCGGGCUCCGCCGGGGGGACACGAGCUGGGAUCCCCCCGCUGGGGCCUGCGGCAUCGCCACAGCUGCUGAUCCUGCCGGUGUCCAUCCCGAACCUCACCGGGAACACCCCCGGACGCCCGAGGUCCAUCCCAUCCCCACCCCGAGGCUCCCGGGGUCCUUCGCGACCCCCGCCGGUGUCCAUCCCACCCCGAGGCCAUCACGACCCCCGCCGGUGUCCAUCCCACCCCGAGGAUCCCGGUGUCCAUCCCAUCCCACCCCGAGGCUCCCGGGCUCCAUCACGACUUUCCCGGCGCGCAUCCCAUCUCUCGCCGGGUACAUGCGGACCCCCGCCGGGCUCCGUUCCAGGCCGGGCCCGGCCCGGUGGCUCGCUGCGGUGGCCCCGCGGUGGCUCUGUGCCCGCUGCGGUGACACAGGGACCGCUGGCCGCCAGCAGCCCCGUGACCGGGCCCGUUCCUCACGGCCCAGCGCACCGGCUCUGCAGCACGGCUCUACCGGUACCGCGGCACCGCCAGCGCGGUUCCUGCCGGGUUCCCGGUGACACCGACUCGCUCUGUGCGGUGCCGGCGAUGCCGAGGCGUCCCCGGUGACCCCCGCCCUCCUGCCCGCGCUGCGACAGCGGCACAGGAGGGAUGCGGUGCGGCUGGAGCUCCCCGGGACGCGCCCCCCCCUCCCCGGGACGCGGAACCUCCCCGGGACGCUGCCGGUCCCCGCGGGCCCGGUCCCGGGACCCCUCCCGGUGCCCCCUCCCCCGGUACCUUUGAGGGACGCGAUCUCGUGGUGGAUGCCCCGCGCCCCCUCCAUGGCCGCCNC
This 1447-nucleotide long non-coding RNA is filed under the name Parus major (Great Tit). RNAcentral describes it as "lncRNA (ENSPMJG00000004779.1)". The record is from RNAcentral. Lineage: Eukaryota; Metazoa; Chordata; Aves; Passeriformes; Paridae.